GGGGUUGUGGCUCAGUGGUAGAGCACUUAUCUGGCAUGUGUGAAUCACUGAGUUCAAGUCUCAGCACCUCA
Ictidomys tridecemlineatus (thirteen-lined ground squirrel) is the source of this 71-nucleotide non-coding RNA. The record is from Rfam. Lineage: Eukaryota; Metazoa; Chordata; Mammalia; Rodentia; Sciuridae.